GCGUCGCUAGCUCAAUUGGCAGAGUUCCGGUCUCCAAAACCGGUGGUUCCAGGUUCGACCCCUGGGCGACGUG
The sequence is a transfer RNA, 73 nucleotides long. It matches the Rfam family "tRNA". From Rfam's summary of the family: Transfer RNA (tRNA) molecules are approximately 80 nucleotides in length.